UAAGUCCUGCGCUGUUCGCGAACCGCGCUUUUAUAACCCUACAAUUUUAAUUUAAGGGACCUUUGCUCGGGUAGUGGGCUUGCAGACCUCCCGCGGCUGUGCCGGUUACGGAAGAAGGGAGCGCGAAGCUGCUCGGCGGGAACCCACCUGAAUAACAUCAGGUUAUCUUUAGCCGCUACGGCAGGGCGGGACGAUU
Molecule: non-coding RNA, 196 nt
Filed under: Clostridia bacterium
Lineage: Bacteria; Bacillati; Bacillota; Clostridia
Description: 6S RNA
Rfam family: 6S / SsrS RNA
About the family: E. coli 6S RNA was the first non coding RNA to be sequenced, but its function was unknown until recently. It consists of 184 nucleotides that fold into an extended hairpin structure with a large single-stranded internal bulge.
Source: RNAcentral